This 62-nucleotide transfer RNA is filed under the name Enterobacter hormaechei. Its description in RNAcentral is "tRNA-Ala". It matches the Rfam family "tRNA", at positions 1 to 60 of the family's 71-position model. From Rfam's summary of the family: Transfer RNA (tRNA) molecules are approximately 80 nucleotides in length. The record is from RNAcentral. Lineage: Bacteria; Pseudomonadati; Pseudomonadota; Gammaproteobacteria; Enterobacterales; Enterobacteriaceae.
GGGGCUAUAGCUCAGCUGGGAGAGCGCCUGCAUGGCAUGCAGGAGGUCAGCGGUUCGAUCCC